CUUAAGCGUGUGGCUUUCCUCCUGCGCAGCGGAGAUCACAACGCUGACAGAUAACCAGCACAGUGGAAGGAGUCAGCAACUUUGGGCUGGGUUGAGAUCUUCUGGCACAAAGUCUGGGUGGGUCUUUCACCAGCUGCACUGGGGACAUGAAGUUAUCGCAUUCCUCUCUGCAACAUUUCUCCAAAGUGGACUUAGGUCACACACCUCUCUAGUGAAGCUGCAGCAGAUGCUGAUGCUGGUGAAAUAAUCGAAGAUAUUCCACACAUAAACUUAGGUGAGUUCACGUCCAAAUUCUUAUAAGGCCUGAAAAACUGUGAGCAAAAUGCUGGAUUUUCAAUAUUGAAAAAAAGAUGUGGGUGGCUAAUGGUUAGGUAGUUCAUGGUGCAAGAAAAA
This 393-nucleotide long non-coding RNA is filed under the name Falco tinnunculus (common kestrel). RNAcentral's name for it is "lncRNA (ENSFTIG00000002653.1)". The record is from RNAcentral. Lineage: Eukaryota; Metazoa; Chordata; Aves; Falconiformes; Falconidae.